RNAcentral lists this ribosomal RNA (156 nucleotides) under uncultured bacterium. RNAcentral's name for it is "partial 16S ribosomal RNA". It matches the Rfam family "Bacterial small subunit ribosomal RNA", at positions 355 to 507 of the family's 1533-position model. The record is from RNAcentral.
UGAGGAAUAUUGGUCAAUGGGCGAGAGCCUGAACCAGCCAAGUAGCGUGCAGGAUGACGGCCCUAUGGGUUGUAAACUGCUUUUAUCCGGGAAUAAAGUGAGGCACGUGUGCCUUAUUGAACAGUACCGUAUGAAUAAGGACCGGCUAAUUCCGUG